Molecule: RNA transcript, 2871 nt
Organism: Daktulosphaira vitifoliae (grape phylloxera)
Lineage: Eukaryota; Metazoa; Arthropoda; Insecta; Hemiptera; Phylloxeridae
Exons: 2
Source: RefSeq, a predicted model, not a curated record
AAUAUCCAUGGUUAAAAGACUUAUAAAGAGUUUUAAAAAAAUAUCUUAUUAUAGCUUGUUAAAUUAUCACAUAAUAAAAUAAUUUAUAUAUUGUCAAUUGAAAAUGAUUUUAAAGACAUUUACUGCGAUAUUAUUUUUGUUAUGUAUUGUGAAGCUAAAAAUAUGUUAUGGCAUAAAAUUCUGGAAGACAAAAGAUAAAUCAUUAGAAAGAGCUUUAAAGUUAGACACUGGUUUCGAGUAUCCUAGCUAUGAGGAUCUAUGCGAUUUGUCAAUGGAAGAUUUCAAAAACAAAAUCUGCGCAGGAGAUACAGUAUUAAGAAGUAUUACUGAUUCAAUAAAAACAAAAAUUCACUUUAUAGAGUUGGAUCUCCUUUGUGGUAAUACAUUCAAUCUUCUUCAAUAUUUGAAUCUUAUUUAUUUUUUCAUUAAUUUUCCGUCUGGACAAACAUAUGAUAUAAACAGAAUUAUUUUAAACGAAUCAAUUACAAAACAUAUUUUAGUUAUUUUGAUGAAAAAGAAUCGCAAAGAAAUAUUUGACGGUUUUUGGGCAAUGCAUUUUUAUAUUUCUUAUAUUCGAUUGUUUGGUAAUGAAAUACAUCAAUGUCCAUAUAAUAUUGCAAAUGCUCACCAAAUCCUUCGCACAAUGUUAAUAUAUUUUUCUUUAAAUGUAUGUAGAUAUAAUAAUAAGUAUGACGUAAAAGAUACUCCUUCAGAUAUUUCGGAACAAUAUUCAACUCUCACGAAUCUUAUAGAUGUUAUGAUUCGAAGAAGAGAAAUCAACAAAAAUGUAUUGGUAAUUGGGGACAAAGAUGAAAGUGCAUUCUCACUCAGAAGUAUUUAUAUGUGCGACAUAAUUGAAAACAAAGAAUUAUUGAGAAUUGUUAUAAUGGAUUUCGGUGAACAAAGUAAAGAUACGUUUGAUGCUAUUUAUAAUGACAUACAUGAAGCAUACAAACAAGCAAAGAAUUAUUUUAUGUUUGAUUUAUGGAUAAAACGAAUUGGAGUUUAUCAACGAAAAGUCUUAAACGUUUUUAAAACCGUUUUAAUGAAUUUAAUGAAAAAACACUUUAUCUACAGUUCUUUAAUGUUAGACAAUGAACAAAUAGAUAAAGUAAAAUAUUUCAUAGAUAAAAUAGCAAAUUCACUUCAAAAUUUGACUUUGUUAUUUAAUGGCGUAGAAGCUCAUGAUUUUGAAAAAAUGUUCAAAUCUCUCACAGAUUUACCCUCAGAUCAUCAAAAUCUUAGAUAUUAUCAUGGUAUUUUGAUUUUAAAUAUCGAACGCAUAAUAGAUACAAUAAAACCCAACUUUUUUAAAUUAAUUUCAAAUGAUAUAAUUAGUGACUCAGACUAUGAAUCGAAAAUCAAUUUUGAAACUAUAAUGUAUAUUGUAAGAAAUGAAUUGAAUGAAAAUAAAUCCAUCAAAAAUAUUGAAAAUUUUUGUUCAUUUUCAGAUUCUAAAGGAAUGAAUGAUAAUUUUGUAAGAAUAUUUUUAUUUACGAAUUUAUUAAAUAAAUCAUUCGAAAAAGUAAGCAUAAUAAGUAUUUUAUCAUGUUUAAAAUUUUGUGAAUCUUUGGAAACAUUUGGUUUUAAUAACCAUGGUCAUGUAGAUGGUGAAAAUGAGGAAAGGUUAUUGGAAUUGUGAAACAUAUUUUUUAAAACAAACUUCAAUCAUUUACAAUUAUAAAUAAAAUUUUUGAUUCCAAACUUUUAUUAAAUUUACAUACUUUGCAGUUAAAAAACGCCUUUUUUAUUUAUUUGGCAUUAAACGAAAUCAUUGGAGCUUUAUCCACUCAUUUAUACUAAAAUGUUUUUUAUAUUGGAGUUUUAUAAAUAUACUUUCUCAUUCUGAUUAUUUGACAUCCAAAACUUUUUUAAUUUGAAAUCUUUCAAAUAUAGAAUGAAUCAAUCUUAUACCACUACUGUUCAAACUUCUUAAAAAUAAAAUAAAUUAUUUUUCACUUCUUAAUAAUAUUAACUUUACAUUAGACACAAUGUUAUAAAUGCAUAUGUGUGUAUGUGUGAGUUUAUUUAUUUAUUGUAUCAUUAAAGUGUAGUGUAUAUUAAUAUACAAGCGAUAGAGUAGGUAAUUGAUUUGACGCUAUAUUGUUUAAACCCAACUAAACGCUAAAUUGUACAUUCCGAAACAACAAUCAUAUUAUGUCUAUUGCCACCGGAAUUUCUGAUAAUCUUUUUCUUUUUCUUUGCCUUAAUCCCAACUACUUGGGGUCGGCCACCCUCAUCCUAAACUUCCACUUGACACGAUCUCCUCAUAUCGCAUUCAAUAACAUCCCUCAAUCUCUUUUUUGGUCUUCCUCUACCUCUUCUUUCUUUAACAAUCAUUUCUAUAACUGUUCUUACAACUUCCGAUUCUUCUCUCGUUAGAACAUGACCAAACAAUCUAAGUCUAUUUUCUGUCAUCUUAUCCACGAUUGACGCAACACCUAUACUUUCUCUUAUAUACUCGUUCCUUAUCCUAUCUUCUCUAUUCACUCCACUCAUCCAACUAAGCAUUCUCAUCUCUGUUACACGUAUUCUCUGCUCUACUUUCUUAUCAACCGCCCAACACUAUGAACCAUACAUUAUAGCUAGCCUCACAAUUUCAUACUAAAUUUAAAAACUAUAAAUAGUAUUUAUUCAUAUAUUAUAUUUUAAAAUCAAAGAACUACUAAUCAGGAUAUAAUUAAAGAAAUAAGAGUUCAUGUUGCUUUUAAAAUAUUUCACCAAUUUCUCUAAAGGAAACACUAUCUACAGAUUUGCAUCGAAGCGUUUCUUAUGAUAGUGAUAUUAAUCACUGUCAGAUAUCAUCUAUACUUGUCCCAUCUAUGCCUCGUCCACACUGUGCCUCGACCCCACUGUGCUACCGUUUUUUUU